This 744-nucleotide ribosomal RNA is filed under the name Acinetobacter baumannii Naval-18. RNAcentral's name for it is "bacterial SSU rRNA". It matches the Rfam family "Bacterial small subunit ribosomal RNA", at positions 738 to 1482 of the family's 1533-position model. The record is from RNAcentral. Lineage: Bacteria; Pseudomonadati; Pseudomonadota; Gammaproteobacteria; Moraxellales; Moraxellaceae.
UACUGACGCUGAGGUACGAAAGCAUGGGGAGCAAACAGGAUUAGAUACCCUGGUAGUCCAUGCCGUAAACGAUGUCUACUAGCCGUUGGGGCCUUUGAGGCUUUAGUGGCGCAGCUAACGCGAUAAGUAGACCGCCUGGGGAGUACGGUCGCAAGACUAAAACUCAAAUGAAUUGACGGGGGCCCGCACAAGCGGUGGAGCAUGUGGUUUAAUUCGAUGCAACGCGAAGAACCUUACCUGGCCUUGACAUACUAGAAACUUUCCAGAGAUGGAUUGGUGCCUUCGGGAAUCUAGAUACAGGUGCUGCAUGGCUGUCGCCAGCUCGUGUCGUGAGAUGUUGGGUUAAGUCCCGCAACGAGCGCAACCCUUUUCCUUACUUGCCAGCAUUUCGGAUGGGAACUUUAAGGAUACUGCCAGUGACAAACUGGAGGAAGGCGGGGACGACGUCAAGUCAUCAUGGCCCUUACGGCCAGGGCUACACACGUGCUACAAUGGUCGGUACAAAGGGUUGCUACACAGCGAUGUGAUGCUAAUCUCAAAAAGCCGAUCGUAGUCCGGAUUGGAGUCUGCAACUCGACUCCAUGAAGUCGGAAUCGCUAGUAAUCGCGGAUCAGAAUGCCGCGGUGAAUACGUUCCCGGGCCUUGUACACACCGCCCGUCACACCAUGGGAGUUUGUUGCACCAGAAGUAGCUAGCCUAACUGCAAAGAGGGCGGUUACCACGGUGUGGCCGAUGACUGGGGUG